RNAcentral lists this ribosomal RNA (496 nucleotides) under uncultured bacterium. Its description in RNAcentral is "partial 16S ribosomal RNA". It matches the Rfam family "Bacterial small subunit ribosomal RNA", at positions 29 to 507 of the family's 1533-position model. The record is from RNAcentral.
AUGCACGCUGGCGGCGUGCCUAAUACAUGCAAGUCGCGCGAACAGACGAGGAGCUUGCUCCUCUGACGUUAGCGGCGGACGGGUGAGUAACACGUGGAUAUCCUACCUAUAAGACUGGGAUAACUUCGGGAAACCGGAGCUAAUACCGGAUAAUAUAUUGAACCGCAUGGUUCAAUAGUGAAAGACGGUUUUGCUGUCACUUAUAGAUGGAUCCGCGCCGCAUUAGCUAGUUGGUAAGGUAACGGCUUACCAAGGCGACGAUGCGUAGCCGACCUGAGAGGGUGAUCGGCCACACUGGAACUGAGACACGGUCCAGACUCCUACGGGAGGCAGCAGUAGGGAAUCUUCCGCAAUGGGCGAAAGCCUGACGGAGCAACGCCGCGUGAGUGAUGAAGGUCUUCGGAUCGUAAAACUCUGUUAUUAGGGAAGAACAAAUGUGUAAGUAACUAUGCACGUCUUGACGGUACCUAAUCAGAAAGCCACGGCUAACUACGUG